UGCAAGUCGAACGGCAGCAUGAUCUAGCUUGCUAGAUUGAUGGCGAGUGGCGAACGGGUGAGUAAUACAUCGGAACGUGCCCUGUAGUGGGGGAUAACUAGUCGAAAGAUUAGCUAAUACCGCAUACGACCUGAGGGUGAAAGUGGGGGACCGCAAGGCCUCAUGCUAUAGGAGCGGCCGAUGUCUGAUUAGCUAGUUGGUGAGGUAAAGGCUCACCAAGGCGACGAUCAGUAGCUGGUCUGAGAGGACGAUCAGCCACACUGGGACUGAGACACGGCCCAGACUCCUACGGGAGGCAGCAGUGGGGAAUUUUGGACAAUGGGCGAAAGCCUGAUCCAGCAAUGCCGCGUGUGUGAAGAAGGCCUUCGGGUUGUAAAGCACUUUCGUCCGGAAAGAAAUGGCUCUGGUUAAUACCUGGGGUCGAUGACGGUACCGGAAGAAUAAGGACCGGCUAACUACGUGCCAGCAGCCGCGGUAAUACGUAGGGUCCAAGCGUUAAUCGGAAUUACUGGGCGUAAAGCGUGCGCAGGCGGUUGUGCAAGACCGAUGUGAAAUCCCCGAGCUUAACUUGGGAAUUGCAUUGGUGACUGCACGGCUAGAGUGUGUCA
RNAcentral lists this ribosomal RNA (608 nucleotides) under uncultured Ralstonia sp. RNAcentral's name for it is "bacterial SSU rRNA". It matches the Rfam family "Bacterial small subunit ribosomal RNA", at positions 56 to 653 of the family's 1533-position model. The record is from RNAcentral. Lineage: Bacteria; Pseudomonadati; Pseudomonadota; Betaproteobacteria; Burkholderiales; Burkholderiaceae.